UACGUAGGCAGCAAGCGUUGUUCGGAGUUACUGGGCGUAAAGAGUGCGUAGGCGGUUUCGUAAGUUUGGUGUGAAAUCUCCCGGCUUAACUGGGAGGGUGCGCCGAAAACUGCGGGGCUGGAGUGUGGGAGAGGUAAGCGGAAUUCCUGGUGUAGCGGUGAAAUGCGUAGAUAUCAGGAGGAACACCAAUGGCGAAGGCAGCUCGCUGGGACGGUACUGACGCUGAGGCGCGAAAGCGUGGGGAGCAAACAGG
This 253-nucleotide ribosomal RNA is filed under the name uncultured bacterium. Its description in RNAcentral is "partial 16S ribosomal RNA". It matches the Rfam family "Bacterial small subunit ribosomal RNA", at positions 524 to 776 of the family's 1533-position model. The record is from RNAcentral.